CUCUCUUGGUCUUCGGCGGGUACGUGUCUUCCGGCCAGCUCUCUUCCGCUUCUGCUGUCUUGAUGACGCACAGUGCUGGCGCAAGUCGUCUUGCGCCAGGCGACUGGGUCUGAGGAGGCAGGAGUUAUUCAUUCCCUUAAGCUUUCAGGCCGGGGGGAGAAUCUUUCAGGUGGUAGCUGCAAGAACUCUUAGUAUGUUGACCUCACCUCUGCCUUCCACAUACCACUACCAGUGAGGAAUUAGGAAUGCAUGAGAAGAGUGUCCAAGAAGAGUGUCCUCAUUCAUGCAAGGCUUAAGAGAGAAUGCAGGUCAACAUCACCAUGUCAAUCAGAGAAUACUUCUGUUGGGUUGAAUGACUCUCUGCCCCCAGGUGCAGAUGCUGAGAGCACUUUCUAGUCAAGUCCUGCAUGUUCAUUUCUGUCUCAAGUCAGCUUCUCUGAGAAUCCAAUUUAUAAAAAUAUAUUUGUGAAUGUAUAAGUAAAGUGACUUGGAUUUUGUCUACGUACAAGGACUUCUAUGCCUGCAUAAAACAGCUUUCAGAGUGACUAACCAUACCAGUUUGACCAAGACUGUAUUGGCUGCAGCACUUAAAAGCUCACAUCCCGGAAAUCCUUUGGUCCUCGGUGAAUUGGGAUGGUUGGUUACCCUAUUACUGAUGAUUGUAAUUCUCAGCGUAGUUUGGAACCAGCAGCAGCAGCAGCUCCCCAGACCUACUGAAUCAGAAUCUACAUUUUGAUAAGAG
RNAcentral lists this long non-coding RNA (742 nucleotides) under Homo sapiens (human). Its description in RNAcentral is "HSALNT0401795". The record is from RNAcentral. Lineage: Eukaryota; Metazoa; Chordata; Mammalia; Primates; Hominidae.